Molecule: ribosomal RNA, 253 nt
Filed under: uncultured bacterium
Lineage: Bacteria
Description: partial 16S ribosomal RNA
Rfam family: Bacterial small subunit ribosomal RNA
Source: RNAcentral
UACGUAGGUGGCAAGCGUUGUCCGGAGUUAUUGGGCGUAAAGCGCGCGCAGGCGGUUGGAUAAGUCCAUGGUGAAAGCGCCUGGCUCAACUAGGCGAGUGCCGUGGGGACUGUUCAGCUGGAGUGGAGCAGAGGCGAGUGGAAUUCCGGGUGUAGUGGCGAAAUGCGUAGAGAUCCGGAGGAACACCAGAGGCGAAGGCGGCUCGCUGGGCUUUGACUGACGCUGAGGCGCGAAAGCGUGGGGAGCGAACCGG